GCGCCCAGCCCCUCGCCGGAGCAAGGUCAACACGGCAAGUGUGUGCUCCGCUUCCUCCGGAGGAAUAGUCUUUAUUCUUAAUCCGAGAUCCUGUAGGCUGUGAUAAUCCGUGAGCGUGCUGCGGGGUAAUCUGCCCUCUCUCCUGCUGCCGUUAGCUGCACGGUCGGCUCCGUGGCUGGGUGGCCUAAUGGCUAAUGGAGCUGGUGGUCCCGGGGCCAGCGUAGCCUCUGGAGCCCAGCGAGUGCCGUUGAUGGUUGUCUGGGGUCGAGGGCGGUCUGGAGGAAAGGAAAAGCCACUCCAAUGGUCUUCAGGUGAUCAGGCAGGGAUGCUCUGGGCUGCUGAUUUUGUCGUUGGGCAGGGGGUCCCCUGGAUUUUAUGGUCCUUAGCAGGGCUCAAAGAGUCGUCGAGUGGGGCUGCAGUAGGAGUGAGAAAGGUAAUGUGCUUCUGCCCACCCCCCCCAUGCACUGUUACAGUGUCCCCAUGUUUUGCAUAAGGGAAGCCACUGCUUUUCCAACAGGAAAAAAAGGUUGAUGAAAAAAAAGAGCUGACGGGCCCAUGAUCCUAUGGACUGCUCCGUACCGUUAAGGAGGAGCAAGAGUUGCUGUCCUUGGGGGACCUCUUAGUACCAGGGUUCCAAGGUACAACUCACUGUAGAUGCAGCACUUCGAUUCCCCUGGAAGCCAUUCUGUCACCCUGGCUCCUUCAAGUACAGGUGUACUUAAUCACAGAAAACCAUUUUGCUAUGGAGCCAGAAGCAAGGCUUUCCAUCUUUUUCCACUUUUUCACCAAGAUCAGCUCAGCCAAGGGGCAUCUGGGCAGUCGGCUAUGGGGACAGUAACACCGGUUCCUUGUGUGCCCUUGCUUCCCACCAGUGCUCGAUAGCAAGUCUGUACGGUUCUGCUUGGGAAAUUGAGUUUGGUUCAUAAGUUAACUACAUCUCUAUGCAGAGAGCUAAAGUUCAGCUUAUUUUAGCCUAGUUUAGCAAGUUGGCAUUUUAGGUCCAUCAGGAAGAGCCGUGCAGUUUUGCUUCAACUGGGGAACCCAACGCUGCUGGAGGGCGAUAUAUGUGAUUGGGGUGCCGCAUGAAUGGCAUGUGGAAGACUAUCUGCCUGGUUUGGGUUUUUUUGGGGGGGGGGGUUGGUUUGGUUUUUUUUUUUUCCUGCCUGUGGCUGCAGCCUUUCUCCUGCUGACCUUCUGGUGCUGUCUUUUAGGGAAGUCAGCUGAGCUGGAUUAUCAAUCAAGCCCAAGGAGACAAAAGGAGGCAGGUGGAAGCUAGAGCCUGUGUCUCUGGGAGUGGAGUGAUGGAGGAGAGCAGCCAAAGCUAGUGCUCCAGGAGGAGGGGGGGAAGGAUGAAGAGUGCUGGUAACCCAGGUGUGGGCAAUAAAGUAGGGCAACUCCUGCUGUGAUCAUCCUUUGUACCUCCUGUGGGUCAGUCACUUGGGCUGGUGCCAUUCUUACAUGGACAAGAGGAUGUCUCUCAGCUCUGGUCCCAGUCUCUUCGAAGUCUUGGGAAAUAUCUUACAAACUGGUUAACUGGGGCUGCCUUCAGCGUGAAGUUCUCUGUUCCUAUUGACAGUCUGCAGGUAUAAUUUUCCUUAAAUUGCCUGAUAUCUUUCAGGCUUCAGUCUUUCCCAGCAGGGACGAGCAGAUGCUGUUACCUGAAUCAGAUUUUUCUUUUGUCAUCUUAUUCAAUGCAAUAAAGCAAGCUUUAAA
Molecule: long non-coding RNA, 1713 nt
Organism: Aquila chrysaetos chrysaetos
Lineage: Eukaryota; Metazoa; Chordata; Aves; Accipitriformes; Accipitridae
Exons: 2
Source: RefSeq, a predicted model, not a curated record